GGCCCUAUAGCUCAGUUGGUUAGAGCGCUGCCCUGUCACGGCAGAGGUCGCCGGUUCAAGUCCGGUUAGGGUCG
This 74-nucleotide transfer RNA is filed under the name Candidatus Opitulatrix roisinitermitis. RNAcentral's name for it is "tRNA-Asp". It matches the Rfam family "tRNA". From Rfam's summary of the family: Transfer RNA (tRNA) molecules are approximately 80 nucleotides in length. Their secondary structure includes four short double-helical elements and three loops (D, anti-codon, and T loops). Lineage: Bacteria; Bacillati; Actinomycetota; Actinomycetes; Bifidobacteriales; Bifidobacteriaceae. The record is from RNAcentral.